Hemicordylus capensis (graceful crag lizard) is the source of this 917-nucleotide long non-coding RNA. RefSeq lists it as uncharacterized. The transcript is spliced from 2 exons. The record is from RefSeq and is a predicted model, not a curated record. Lineage: Eukaryota; Metazoa; Chordata; Lepidosauria; Squamata; Cordylidae.
AGCUCCCCCCCUUCCUCUCUCUUACAGGAGGGAGAGGAAGGGGGAAGGGGCGUCCAUUGGAAGAGCCUCUGGGGAAAAAUAAGUGGCGGCCGCGGCAGGUGCUGGAGCACGAGCGGCAGCCUUUGUCCGCCUGCAGCCAAUCAGCGUCCUAGAACGGGUUUUGUCUCCGUUACGUAGUGGUUAGAGCGUCCCCCUUCAGAGUUUAGUGUUUAGGGUUCUGGUCCCGCUUUUGGCUGGUACGUUGCCAGUCUUCUUCCCAUGGUGCUGAAAUCCAGAGGCUUUUAAUUAAUUAGACAUUCGGCCAAAUGAAUAUCAUGUUGCAGAAGAAGAAAAAAUAUUCAUUUAUUUUUAAUCAAAUUGAUACAGCUUUCCAGCAGCUUCAGGAACUGGCAGCGACUAACCAGAAGAUGAUCUUGGGGUGAUGGCUCAAUGGAAAUAUCAACUCAAGUUUGCAGUACUGAUGAAGAGAAAUUUUAUGCCAGAUGGGACACAUGCAGUGUUUUUUGCCAAAUGUAUGUCCGAUUGGACACAUGCUGCCUUUGAAGACUACUUGGAAACUUCUGUUGGUCCAUAGUGGUGUAGGCCUGAACCAGACCGAAGCCAUGUUACCUUUGAUAUAUUCUGUCUGUGUAAGGGGGGCCUAGGGGAUUCCUUAUAAGGAGUUGCUUUUCUGUGCCAAGGAGGGCCAGGAGAGACUAGAUAAGAAGGUUAUGAGGUAUUCACCUAAAAGAAUACAUGCGCAGAAGUUAGCUGGAAAUUUACAGAAAGUCCAGACAAAGGAAAAGGGGCAGUACCUACGUAUCAUGUUCUAGGUUAUAAAUAUGUCAUGCUUGUAAAUGAACGGGGUCUUGGACUUGAGCGAGAGCUAUCCAGGACCUUUGCUACUAUAGAGCAAAAUAAAGCCUUUUACAUCCUUC